This 253-nucleotide ribosomal RNA is filed under the name uncultured bacterium. Its description in RNAcentral is "partial 16S ribosomal RNA". It matches the Rfam family "Bacterial small subunit ribosomal RNA", at positions 524 to 776 of the family's 1533-position model. The record is from RNAcentral.
UACAGAGGGUGCAAGCGUUAAUCGGAAUUACUGGGCGUAAAGCGCGCGUAGGCGGUCGGGUCAGUCGGUUGUGAAAUCCCCGGGCUUAACCUGGGAAUUGCAGUCGAUACUGCCCGGCUAGAGUGUGGAAGAGGGAAGCGGAAUUUCCGGUGUAGCGGUGAAAUGCGUAGAUAUCGGAAGGAACACCAGUGGCGAAGGCGGCUUCCUGGUCCAACACUGACGCUGAGGCGCGAAAGCGUGGGUAGUGAACAGG